AUGUUGAAAAUUGACCUAGCUAAAGUUUUUGAUCGAAUAGAGUGGAAUUGUAUUACUUUGGCUCUUGCACGCAAAGGUCUUCCCAAUCAUUUCACAAAACUUGUGCUUGCUUGCAUCUCUUCGCCGACUUUUUCUGUUAUAAUAAAUGGUCAGUCUUAUGCGAAAUUUACUAGCUCCAGAGGUAUCAUGCAGGGUUCUUCGUUUUCGCCAUAUCUUUUUGUCCUUGCAGUUAACGAACUAUCAUUGAAUCUACAGAAUGCUCUACGGGCCAAUGAUCUCACAGGUAUUGUACUUGGACCAAAUUACCCUCCUGUUCACUCUUUGAUGUUUACAGAUGAUCUUAUUAUUUGCCGCAAAACUAACAUGCAUGAGGUUCAAACUAUCUCUAACAUUUUAAAUCGAUUUUGUCAAAACUCAGGUCAAAUCCCUAACUGGAACAAGUCUGGUAUUCUUUUCAGUAAAAAUGUUCCUCUACAGGACAAAUAA
Molecule: ribosomal RNA, 486 nt
Filed under: Triticum aestivum (bread wheat)
Lineage: Eukaryota; Viridiplantae; Streptophyta; Magnoliopsida; Poales; Poaceae
Description: partial small subunit ribosomal RNA
Source: RNAcentral